CCCCUUUCAGGAUCACACCUAGAGAGUUUCCAAUACUCUACCAGUUUCAGCUACAGGAGGGAGAGACGAGCAGAGGCAUACCCAUUCCAUUCCUAGCUUGGCCAGUGCCUAGUGAGCGGAAGGCAAUCUGCUACAAGU
Molecule: non-coding RNA, 138 nt
Organism: Ornithorhynchus anatinus (platypus)
Lineage: Eukaryota; Metazoa; Chordata; Mammalia; Monotremata; Ornithorhynchidae
Source: Rfam